Molecule: ribosomal RNA, 301 nt
Filed under: uncultured bacterium
Lineage: Bacteria
Description: partial 16S ribosomal RNA
Rfam family: Bacterial small subunit ribosomal RNA
Source: RNAcentral
CAGUCGCCGCGGGAAAACGUAGGGGGCGAGCGUUGUCCGAAGUUACUGGGCGUAAAGAGCGCGUAGGCUGGUCUUUAAGUGAGUGGUGAAAGGUUCGGGCUCAACCCGGACACUGCCUUUCAUACUGGGGACCUUGAGUGUGGGAGAGGCGAGUGGAAUGGUCGGUGUAGCGGUGAAAUGCGUAGAUAUCGAUCGGAACACCCAUGGCGAAGGCAGCUCGCUGGCCUAACACUGACGCUGAGGCGCGAAAGCGUGGGGAGCAAACAGGAUUAGAUACCCCAGUAGUCCCUGUCUCUUAUAC